Molecule: long non-coding RNA, 309 nt
Organism: Cyprinus carpio (common carp)
Lineage: Eukaryota; Metazoa; Chordata; Actinopteri; Cypriniformes; Cyprinidae
Exons: 3
Source: RefSeq, a predicted model, not a curated record
UGCUGUGGGAAAUCACUCUAAUCUCAUUGCAGAAUUACUGAUGACUGCUUCCAGCGUACGCCACAAAUCUGAGACUGAUUCACAUAAUCCCUCGAGUGAGAGACUGUCAGAGAGAGACUGAGGGUCUGUCUUCCAGUCUCAUUCUUGAAUGGAGGUUUACCACAGGAUAAAAAAUAAAUAAGAGCUGACACAAUAACCAGGUACUGUAUGUGUGAGGGGUCAAGGGUCAGGGUAACCCUCAGUGUGUUCAUGAACAGACUGACCUCUACACUAAAUUCCCCUCUUUGACAGGAAAUAAAAUCAAUCAGC